GACGAACGCUGGCGGCAUGCCUAACACAUGCAAGUCGAACGAUCAGAUUAGGGGGUUGGUGGCCCAAGGGUACGUAAGGAGGGGGAAUCAGCCCGUGGGUACGGAAUAACAGCGGGAAACGGAAGCUAAUACAGGAUGAUAUAGCGAGAGCAAAGAUUUAUCGCCUUAGGAUGAGCCAGCGUUGGAUUAGGUAGUUGGUGGGUAAAAGGCGUACCAAGCCGACGAUCCAUAGCUGGGCUGAGAGGAUGAUCAGCCACACUGGGACUGAGACACGGCCCAGACUCCUACGGGAGGCAGCAGUGGGGAAUAUUGCACAAUGGGCGCAAGCCUGAUCCAGCAAUGCCGCGUGAGUGAUGAAGGCACGAGGGUUGUAAAGCUCUUUUACCCGUGAAGAUAAUGACUGUACCUGGAGAAUAAGCCCCGGCUAACUCCGUG
This 435-nucleotide ribosomal RNA is filed under the name uncultured bacterium. Its description in RNAcentral is "partial 16S ribosomal RNA". It matches the Rfam family "Bacterial small subunit ribosomal RNA", at positions 28 to 507 of the family's 1533-position model. The record is from RNAcentral.